Coturnix japonica (Japanese quail) is the source of this 2948-nucleotide long non-coding RNA. The record is from Ensembl. Lineage: Eukaryota; Metazoa; Chordata; Aves; Galliformes; Phasianidae.
AUGAACUGGAAACAUCGCUCAGUGCAAUGCUUUGUAAAAGCUGCAUUCGUAGUCUCGGCAUUUUAUCUCAACACGUGCACAUCAGAAUUAAGAAGUGCAGCAGAAACACAAACAUCGACAACUACUGCCCAGGAACCAUCAGCACGUGAAAAUAUAACUAUGAGCUCUUCCAUUCGAAAUCAGUCUACAGCUACAUAUGAGACAAGCGAAUCGGGCACAACCACAACAACUCUUCCUAAAACCACAGCUCAGGAGACCACUUCUGCAGCUGGGACGACACCUCUAGACGCAUCUACCAUAGAAACAACAUCUACUUCUACCCUCACAAGUACAUCAAUCCCCAGCACCAGUGCAGACCUUACAUCCAGUACUGGACAAACAUCCUCCACUGCUACCCAGGCCACAACACCAACUCAAACCACAACUGCUAGUAGUGCUUCCCAUGCACAAUCUACACUUGAGGGAACAACAUCAUCAACUACAGUUCUCUUGCCAACAACACAACCAUCAACCCAAGCACAAGAAACAAGCUCUGCAGUCACUUCAAGACCAAUGGGCUCAUCUACAGUAAUGCCCACUAGCACUUCUGCAGAGACAACAGCAGCAUCAACCACCUCACCUCCACAAACACCCACUUCUACUCUUAGAACAAGCCCAUCUCCUCCAACCACCUCAGAAACUACUCUAUCCACGUCUCAGGAGACCACUUCUGCAGCUGGGACGACACCUCCAGCCACCUCUACCAUAGAAACAACUUCUACCCUCACAAGUACAUCACUCCCUAGCACCAGUGCAGCCCUGACAUCCAGUACUGGACAAACAUCCUCCACUGCUACCCAGGCCACAACACCAACUGAAACCACAUAUCCUAGCAUUAACCCUACAGAAUUUAUUCUUGAGGAAACAACAGCAACAACUACAGUUCUCUUGUCAACAACACAGACAUCAAGCCAAGCAGAAGAAACGAGCACUGCAGUCACAACAAGACCACUGGCCACAUCUUCUGUAACACUAACUGGCACUCCUGCAGUGACAUCAGCAACAGAAACAACCCCAACUCUACAAACAUCCUCUACUACUCUUGGAAUAAGCCCAUCUCCUGCAACCAUCUCAGAAGCUCAUCUACCCACUUCUCAGGAGACCACUUCUGCAGCUGGGACAACACCUCCAGACACAUCUACCAUAGAAACAAUUUCUACUUCUACCCACACAAGUACAUCACUCCCUAGCACAAGGGCAUCCCUCACAUCCAGUACUGGACAAACAUCCUCCACUGCUACCCAGGCCACAACACCAACCCAAACCACAACUGCUAGUAGUACUUCCAAUGCACAAUCAACUCUUGUGGAAACAACAUCAACAACUACAGUUCUCUUGCCAACAACACAAACAUCAAGCCAAGCAGAAGAAACGAGCACUGCAGUCACAACAAGACCAAUGGCCACAUCUUCUGUAAUACUGACUGGCACUCCUGCAGUGACAUCAGCAACAGAAACAACCCCAACUCUACAAACAUCCUCUUCUACUCUUGGAACAAGCCCAUCUCCUGCAACCACCUCAGAAGCUACUCCAUCCACUUCUCAGGAGACCACUUCUGCAGCUGGGACAACACCUCCAGACACAUCUACCAUAGAAACUACUUCUACUUCUACCCUCGCAAGUACAUCACUCCCCAGCACCAGUGCAUCCCUCACAUCCAGUACUGGACAAACAUCCUCCACUGCUACCCAGGCCACAACACCAACUCAAACGACAACUGCUAGUAGUACUUCCAAUGCACAAUCUACUCUUGAGGAAACAACAUCAGCAACUACAGUUCUCUUGCCAACAACACAAUCAUCAACCCAAGCACAAGAAACGAGCACUGCAGUCACUUCAAGACCAAUGGGCUCAUCUACUGUAAUGCUAAGUAGCACUCCUGCAGAGACAUUAGCAGCAGCAACCACCUCAACUCCACAAACAUCCUCUUCUACUCUUGGAACAAGCUUAUCUCCUCCAACCACCUCAGAAGAUACGCCAUCCACUUCUCAGAAGACCACUUCUGCAGCUAGGAUGACACAUCCAGCCAGCUCUACCAUAGAAACUACUUCGACUUCUACCCUCACAAGUACAUCACUCCCCAGCACCAGUGCAGCCCUCACAUCCAGUACUGGACAAACAUCCUCCACUGCUACCCAGGCCACAACACCAACUCAAACCACAACUGCUAUUAGUACUUCCAAUGCACAAUCAUCUCUUGAGGAAACAUCAUCAUCAACUACAUUUGUCUUGUCAACACAAACGUCAAGCCAAGCACAAGAAACGAGCACUUCAAUCACUUCAAGACCAAUGGGCACAUCUUCUGUAACGCCGACUGGCACUCCUGCAGUGACAUCAGCAACAGAAAAAACACCAACUGUACAAACAUCCUCUUCAUCUCUUGAAACAAGCCCAUCUCCAGCAACCACCUCAGAAGCUACUCUAUCCACUUCACAGGAGACCACUUCUGCAGCUGGGACGACUCCUCCAGCCACCUCUACCAUAGAAACUACUUCGACUUCUACCCUCGCAAGUACAUCACUCUCUAGCACCAGUGCAGCCCUCACAUCCAGUACUGGACAAACAUCCUCCACUGCUACCCAGACCACAACACCAAGUCAAACUACAUCUGCUAGUAGAACUUCCAAUGCACAAUCUACUCUUGAGGAAACAACAUCAACAACUACAGUUCUCUUGCCAACAACACAAACAUCAAGCCAAGCACAAGAAACGAGCACUUCAGUCACUCCAGGCCCAACUGGCAUGUCUUCUUCUCUAAUGCCCACUAGCACUUCUGCAGAGACAUCAGCAGCAUCAACCACCUCACCUCCACAAACACCCACAUCUACUCUUAGAACAAGCCCAUCUCCUCCAACCACCUCAGAAUUAACUUACUUCUACCACGUCUCAGGAGACCACUUCUGGUAGCU